GAAUCUGCCUAUUAAUGGGGGACAACAUCUCGAAAGGGAUGCUAAUACCGCAUACGCCCUACGGGGGAAAGCAGGGGAUCACUUGUGACCUUGCGUUAAUAGAUGAGCCUAAGUCGGAUUAGCUAGUUGGUGGGGUAAAGGCCUACCAAGGCGACGAUCUGUAGCGGGUCUGAGAGGAUGAUCCGCCACACUGGGACUGAGACACGGCCCAGACUCCUACGGGAGGCAGCAGUGGGGAAUAUUGGACAAUGGGGGGAACCCUGAUCCAGCCAUGCCGCGUGUGUGAAGAAGGCCUUAUGGUUGUAAAGCACUUUAAGCGAGGAGGAGGCUCUUCUAGUUAAUACCUAGGAUGAGUGGACGUUACUCGCAGAAUAAGCACCGGCUAACUCUGUGCCAGCAGCCGCGGUAAUACAGAGGGUGCGAGCGUUAAUCGGAUUUACUGGGCGUAAAGCGUGCGUAGGCGGCUUUUUAAGUCGGAUGUGAAAUCCCCGAGCUUAACUUGGGAAUUGCAUUCGAUACUGGGAAGCUAGAGUAUGGGAGAGGAUGGUAGAAUUCCAGGUGUAGCGGUGAAAUGCGUAGAGAUCUGGAGGAAUACCGAUGGCGAAGGCAGCCAUCUGGCCUAAUACUGACGCUGAGGUACGAAAGCAUGGGGAGCAAACAGGAUUAGAUACCCUGGUAGUCCAUGCCGUAAACGAUGUCUACUA
Molecule: ribosomal RNA, 704 nt
Filed under: Acinetobacter sp. CBU054I
Lineage: Bacteria; Pseudomonadati; Pseudomonadota; Gammaproteobacteria; Moraxellales; Moraxellaceae
Description: bacterial SSU rRNA
Rfam family: Bacterial small subunit ribosomal RNA
Source: RNAcentral